This 490-nucleotide ribosomal RNA is filed under the name uncultured bacterium. Its description in RNAcentral is "partial 16S ribosomal RNA". It matches the Rfam family "Bacterial small subunit ribosomal RNA", at positions 30 to 507 of the family's 1533-position model. The record is from RNAcentral.
AUUGAACGCUGGCGGCAGGCCUAACACAUGCAAGUCGAACGGUAACAGGAAGAAUCUUGCUUCUUUGCUGACGAGUGGCGGACGGGUGAGUAAUGUCUGGGAAACUGCCUGAUGGAGGGGGAUAACUACUGGAAACGGUAGCUAAUACCGCAUAAUGUCGCAAGACCAAAGAGGGGGACCUUCGGGCCUCUUGCCAUCGUAUGUGCCCAGAUGGGAUUAGAUAGUAGGUGGGGUAACGUCUCACCUAGGCGACGAUCCCUAGCUGGUCUGAGAGGAUGACCAGCCACACUGGAACUGAGACAGGGUCCAGACUCCUACGGGAGGCAGCAGUGGGGAAUAUUGCACAAUGGGCGCAAGCCUGAUGCAGCUAUGCCGCGUGUAUGAAGAAGGCCUUCGGGUUGUAAAGUACUUUCAGCGGGGAGGAAGGGAGUAAAGUUAAUACCUUGGCUCAUUGACGUUACCCGCAGAAGAAGCACCGGCUAACUACGUG